ACGGGCAUGGUGUAAAGGUAGCACACAGGCUCCCGAGGCCUGACAGGGGCUUCCAACCCCUCUGUGUCGGUUCGAGUCCGGCUGCCCGUGCAA
Molecule: transfer RNA, 93 nt
Filed under: Saprospirales bacterium
Lineage: Bacteria; Pseudomonadati; Bacteroidota; Saprospiria; Saprospirales
Description: tRNA-OTHER
Rfam family: tRNA
About the family: Transfer RNA (tRNA) molecules are approximately 80 nucleotides in length.
Source: RNAcentral